UACGUAGGGGGCAAGCGUUGUCCGGAAUCAUUGGGCGUAAAGAGCGUGUAGGCGGCCAGAUAAGUCCGCUGUGAAAUCUCGAGGCUCAACUUCGAGCUGUCGGUGGAAACUGUCUGGCUAGAGUCCGGAAGAGGAGAAUGGAAUUCCUGGUGUAGCGGUGAAAUGCGCAGAUAUCAGGAGGAACACCAAUUGCGAAGGCAGCUCGCUGGGACGGUACUGACGCUGAGACGCGAAAGCGUGGGGAGCGAACAGG
Molecule: ribosomal RNA, 253 nt
Filed under: uncultured bacterium
Lineage: Bacteria
Description: partial 16S ribosomal RNA
Rfam family: Bacterial small subunit ribosomal RNA
Source: RNAcentral